Thalassophryne amazonica is the source of this 143-nucleotide long non-coding RNA. RefSeq lists it as uncharacterized. Lineage: Eukaryota; Metazoa; Chordata; Actinopteri; Batrachoidiformes; Batrachoididae. The transcript is spliced from 3 exons. The record is from RefSeq and is a predicted model, not a curated record.
UCACUUUUCAGUGUCACAAAAACAAGGCGUGGAAGUGCCCUGAAGUGCAUAUUUAUGAGUGUUCCUUUGAUAAUUACAAUGACUUUCAGCCGCCACAUGUAUCAACAGCUGCAGGUGUGUAUGCUCAAAUCUUGGCAGUGUGC